UAGUGGUGAUGGUUCCUCCAAUGACACUGGUCAUGAGCAGAGCAAUUAUAAGUAUUCCUUCUUUAUUUCCCUGUAGAUUAUUUAUGUCAUGUGGGUCACUAUUGCCCCACUGGCAGCCCUGAGCCCAUACCCUGCCCCUCUGGAAAAUACCAGGACCAGGCUGGUAAAAGCCAGUGUGAAACGUGCCCAGCAGGAAUGACUCGUUUCCCCCAGUGGUCCUUGUUUGCCCGGGUAUUACUGCACUUCAAAGGCACACGUACCCAAUCCUGCCAACGAUGCCACUGGUGGCCUUUGCCCUGCGGGCCAUUACUGCCCAGCAGGCAGCAACGAGCCAUGGCCGUGUCCCACUGGCAAGUUUUUGCCUCAGUCUGGAAUGGUUUACCAGAAUGCCUGUCUGCCCUGCCCAGGAGGGAAGUUCUGCCAAGGAGAGGGCUUGAUGAGUGUUUCUGGAUCGUGUUCUGCUGGCUAUUUCUGUGACGUUGAAUCCACACGGCCAGACCAUAAGCAGUGUCCCCCUGGCUUUUACUGUCCCGAAGGCUCUGAAUCCCCGGUUCCUUGCAGCCCUGGUCACUUCAACUCUGAGAGAGGAAAGUGGAAAUCAGCAGACUGUCAGCUCUGCCCAGCUGGAUAUUUCUGCAGUGGUGAGUACUGAUGUAUUUGAGAACUGGGGUUUGCACAAUGUAAAGUGAGGCGAGAUAGGUACGUUCUACAGCUUUGUUCCUUACAAACUUGUCCUUAGAGGAGGAACCAACUCCUACUGUGCCACACUUCUCAUUUGGUAGGACAUUCACCAAGCACAAAUGCCCCACGUUAUUUAUCUUCCAACAUUGCUGUGGUGUUUUCCAUAGCACCCAGAACAGCUCUUGCUAUUCUGUGUCGUCUUUGUUGCUUGGCUCAGACACCCUCUCUAGAUGUCUUACAAGAAUUCAGCCUCUCUGGGAAACAGAACGGCCUGGCAGACAGGUACUUGGUGCUGGCUCACAGCCAGGGGCUCUGCUUUGAGGCAGCUGCUCAGAGGUUCUCACAGUCUGUCUGCACAAUAUGUGUGUUUACUCCCCCCACAACACUGAAUAGUUUGAGGUCACGCUGGUGGUAACAGAUUCACCCACCCCUUGCAUUAGACAAAGAAGCUUUUCCUUUCUCAGGUGGGAAACUGAAAUAGGAGAGAACUGAACUCACACAAGUGUGUACCAGAGCUGGAACCGCAAGUGAGAUUUCCAAAAGUACAGUUGCAUGCGGAAGCCCACGUUUCCCACAGGCAUAUAAUUCAGAAUUGCCUUUCCUUUGUACUAAGAUGUUCUUUGUCUGAGGCUGAACUUUGGAGAAUGCGUUCUUUCUGAUACUGGUGACAGGUAAAUGA
RNAcentral lists this long non-coding RNA (1360 nucleotides) under Numida meleagris (helmeted guineafowl). Its description in RNAcentral is "lncRNA (ENSNMEG00000012195.1)". The record is from RNAcentral. Lineage: Eukaryota; Metazoa; Chordata; Aves; Galliformes; Numididae.